RNAcentral lists this ribosomal RNA (1827 nucleotides) under Escherichia coli. Its description in RNAcentral is "partial 23S ribosomal RNA". It matches the Rfam family "Bacterial large subunit ribosomal RNA", at positions 830 to 2640 of the family's 2925-position model. Lineage: Bacteria; Pseudomonadati; Pseudomonadota; Gammaproteobacteria; Enterobacterales; Enterobacteriaceae. The record is from RNAcentral.
CAAUCAAACCGGGAGAUAGCUGGUUCUCCCCGAAAGCUAUUUAGGUAGCGCCUCGUGAAUUCAUCUCCGGGGGUAGAGCACUGUUUCGGCAAGGGGGUCAUCCCGACUUACCAACCCGAUGCAAACUGCGAAUACCGGAGAAUGUUAUCACGGGAGACACACGGCGGGUGCUAACGUCCGUCGUGAAGAGGGAAACAACCCAGACCGCCAGCUAAGGUCCCAAAGUCAUGGUUAAGUGGGAAACGAUGUGGGAAGGCACAGACAGCCAGGAUGUUGGCUUAGAAGCAGCCAUCAUUUAAAGAAAGCGUAAUAGCUCACUGGUCGAGUCGGCCUGCGCGGAAGAUGUAACGGGGCUAAACCAUGCACCGAAGCUGCGGCAGCGACACUGUGUGUUGUUGGGUAGGGGAGCGUUCUGUAAGCCUGCGAAGGUGUGCUGUGAGGCAUGCUGGAGGUAUCAGAAGUGCGAAUGCUGACAUAAGUAACGAUAAAGCGGGUGAAAAGCCCGCUCGCCGGAAGACCAAGGGUUCCUGUCCAACGUUAAUCGGGGCAGGGUGAGUCGACCCCUAAGGCGAGGCCGAAAGGCGUAGUCGAUGGGAAACAGGUUAAUAUUCCUGUACUUGGUGUUACUGCGAAGGGGGGACGGAGAAGGCUAUGUUGGCCGGGCGACGGUUGUCCCGGUUUAAGCGUGUAGGCUGGUUUUCCAGGCAAAUCCGGAAAAUCAAGGCUGAGGCGUGAUGACGAGGCACUACGGUGCUGAAGCAACAAAUGCCCUGCUUCCAGGAAAAGCCUCUAAGCAUCAGGUAACAUCAAAUCGUACCCCAAACCGACACAGGUGGUCAGGUAGAGAAUACCAAGGCGCUUGAGAGAACUCGGGUGAAGGAACUAGGCAAAAUGGUGCCGUAACUUCGGGAGAAGGCACGCUGAUACGUAGGUGAAGUCCCUCGCGGAUGGAGCUGAAAUCAGUCGAAGAUACCAGCUGGCUGCAACUGUUUAUUAAAAACACAGCACUGUGCAAACACGAAAGUGGACGUAUACGGUGUGACGCCUGCCCGGUGCCGGAAGGUUAAUUGAUGGGGUCAGCGCAAGCGAAGCUCUUGAUCGAAGCCCCGGUAAACGGCGGCCGUAACUAUAACGGUCCUAAGGUAGCGAAAUUCCUUGUCGGGUAAGUUCCGACCUGCACGAAUGGCGUAAUGAUGGCCAGGCUGUCUCCACCCGAGACUCAGUGAAAUUGAACUCGCUGUGAAGAUGCAGUGUACCCGCGGCAAGACGGAAAGACCCCGUGAACCUUUACUAUAGCUUGACACUGAACAUUGAGCCUUGAUGUGUAGGAUAGGUGGGAGGCUUUGAAGUGUGGACGCCAGUCUGCAUGGAGCCGACCUUGAAAUACCACCCUUUAAUGUUUGAUGUUCUAACGUUGACCCGUAAUCCGGGUUGCGGACAGUGUCUGGUGGGUAGUUUGACUGGGGCGGUCUCCUCCUAAAGAGUAACGGAGGAGCACGAAGGUUGGCUAAUCCUGGUCGGACAUCAGGAGGUUAGUGCAAUGGCAUAAGCCAGCUUGACUGCGAGCGUGACGGCGCGAGCAGGUGCGAAAGCAGGUCAUAGUGAUCCGGUGGUUCUGAAUGGAAGGGCCAUCGCUCAACGGAUAAAAGGUACUCCGGGGAUAACAGGCUGAUACCGCCCAAGAGUUCAUAUCGACGGCGGUGUUUGGCACCUCGAUGUCGGCUCAUCACAUCCUGGGGCUGAAGUAGGUCCCAAGGGUAUGGCUGUUCGCCAUUUAAAGUGGUACGCGAGCUGGGUUUAGAACGUCGUGAGACAGUUCGGUCCCUA